AUGGAUCCGGCAACGGGCGCCAUGGCCUCCCUGCUUCCCAAGCUAGUUGAGCUCCUGGACGAGAAGCACCGGCUGCAAGCGAGCAUCAGGGAAGACGUCAGGUAUCUCUACCGAGAGUUGCAGAGGAUGCAGACUAUCCUGACUAUCCUCCUGGUAUCUCAACCGUGGCACCCGUACCAGGGCGCCAGGAAGCUCUGGGCAGAUGACGCCAGGAAGCUGUCCUACGACAUGGAUGUUGUCCUCGACAAGCUGCUGGUGCUCGCCCCCGACUCGCAAGGCUUUAAGGGGCUCAUGGAGAAGAUGAGCAGCUUGCUCAACAAAGGCAAGACUAGCCACCAGAUCAUGACCAGCGCAAUCAGGACCAGCAAGGCUCGAGUCCGAAUGAUGGCCGACAGAUGUCAACGCUACGGGAUUUAUGCUGCUGUUGAUUAUAGCCUUGCAGCCAUGACCAGCGUUGAUCCUCGUCUCAUGGCUCUGUACGCAAGAGUGCCAGAUCUUGUCGGCAUUGAGGGGGAAAAAGAUGAAGAGCUCAUCAAGUUACUGUCACAUGGGGACAACGUGUCCAUCAGAAACCUCAAGAUAGUCUCUAUUGUUGGAUUUGGAGGAUCGGGCAAAACAACUCUCGUCAAAACAGUGUAUGACAAGAUCCAAAAGAGUUUUGACCGCAAAGCAUUUGUUCCAGCUGGUCAGAAUGCUGACGUGAAGAAGGUUUUGGCGGGCAUCAUCGUUGAUCUCACCAGAAAUUACCCCAACAAACUGAACCAAAAACAGCUCAUCGAAAAACUUCAGGAAAUCCUUGAGAACAAGAGGUACCUCAUUGUGAUAGAUGAUAUAUGGAACGAAAAUCUGUGGGAAGAUAUCAAGUAUGCUUUCUCUAACAAGAAUGUUCUUGGCAGCCGAAUAAUCACUACAACCCGCAUAGCGAGUGUAUCUAAAGCAUGUUGCUUGUCCAGUAAUGAUUCAAUUUAUCAAAUGGAACCUCUAUCUGAUGAUGACUCCAAAAAACUAUUGUAUGGGAGAAUACUUGGUUCUGUGAAUAGUUCUCACGAAAUCAAACAAUUAUAUAGUGAUAUCUUGAAGAAAUGCGGCGGGGUACCUUCAGCCAUCAUUGCUAUGGCUUCUGUUUUGGGUGGUGGUCCGUGGAUAGACCCAAAGGUUGAAUGGCAGGCAUUGCUCAAGCCUAAUGGCCGUGGACUUGAAAAAGAUAUGAGAUGGAAGAAUAUGCAGAUGAUACUUUCCUUUAGCUACUAUGAUCUUCCUCCGCAUUUGAAGACUUGCUUAUUGUACUUUAGCACAUUCCCUGUGACUCACCCGAUCGAAAAAGAUCGUUUGGUGAAAAAAUUGAUAGCGGAAGGGAUUGUUACUCAGGAGACUAAGUUGAUUGGAUCAUCGAAUAGAAAAGAGGCUAAGCUGAGUCAGGAGCUUAGUCUAGAAGAAGCAGCAAGCCAGUACUUGGAUGAGCUCAUCAAUAGGAAUGUUAUUCAGCCCCUGGAAUGCAACAACAAUGGUGAGAUAAUAAGCUACCAUAUCCACCCUAUGAUGCAUGACGUCCUUAAAGCCAUAGCCGUAGGAGAGAGGUUUGCUGCUUCGCUUGAUGGCAAAGAUAUUUCAAGGGCACAUCGUGUGAGCUUCCGUCACCUCUCUAUUGACUGUCCAGAUUCAGAAAAUCUAAUUGAUCUAUCAAGUAUGGCCUUUGUUGGUGUGGUUCACUCCUUAACUGUAUUUGGUCAUGCAAACCAAUUUCUGCUUAGGCACUUCGAAGGCAUUCGAGUUUUGGAUUUAGAAGGCUGCAAGAGUAUAGAGAGAGCUGAUCUGGAGUACAUAUGCAGCAUGGUCAAGUUGAAGUGGUUGUGCCUUGCAAAGACACAAAUCACAGAGCUCCCACCACAAAUUGGCAAACUACGGAAUCUGAAGGGGCUUGAUGUAGGAGGGACUCAACUCACUGAGCUCCCAACACAAAUAGGUAACUUACAAUAUCUGGAGAGACUAGAUGUAAGAGGGACUCAAAUCACCCAGCUCCCACCACAAAUUGGUGAGCUACAGCAUCUGAAGACCCUAGAUGCAAGGAAGUCACGAGUUAAGGAAUUACCUGAUCAAGUUGUCUGGCUCACAGGACUGGUCCACCUGCUUAUUGGUGACAAUGAAUCCAAUGAAGGAGUGAAGUUACCUGUUGGAAUAGGGAAGAUGACAUCACUGCAGCAGCUCUGCACCAUUGAUUUGAGGAAAUGUUCAUCAUCCACUCUGAAGGAGCUUGUUGAGCUCCCGUGUCUCAAAGAGAUUGCUGUAGUGUUAAGUGAUGAGCCGGAAGACACAAGAAUGAACGAUGCGCUGUUGUCUUCCCUUGACAAGUCAACCGAGCUGAGAUCCCUGAUGGUGUGUAGUGAUUUCAGAUUGAACACACUACAGUCAUCAUCAACGUACAAAUAUCUCAUCUGCCGGAAGAAACUUACUGUGGUAAGAAGAUCGUUGAAGGUUCCGAUUGUUAUUGCAGGGCAUCAGUUUAUCGGUAUGCUGGAUAUCAGGGUCUGCAAGCUAGAGGAGGAUGAUCUCAAGAUACUCCGAGAGCUGCCUAGAUUGCAAAGCCUCAUUGUGCGGCUUGAAGUCCUUCCGACAAAAAUGAUAUGCAUCAGCUGUGAGGGGUUUGCAAAGCUUGAGAGUUUCUAUGUUGAUUGCCGAAUGCCAAGGGUAAUCUUUGAGGAAGGAGCGAUGCCAAAGCUGGAACAUCUUGAGCUUAAGCUGUAUGCUGGAUCAGCUAGUGAAGACCAUAUGGGUAUCAAACACCUCUUAAACCUUCAAAAGGUUACUCUCCGAUAUUCCAAAUGGCAUGCAACCAAUGAGGGCGUCAAGAAGAAAAAUGAUGCCAUGAAAACCGAGGCCAAGGAGCACCAGAACAAGCUCAUUCUCUGUACUGUUGAGGAGAACAAAGACGGUACCUGCACCAUGGAGACUGAGAUAUUUCAAGAGAACAAAGAUGCUAGUUGCAGUAAGAUGAUUGAGAUUGAAGAAGAAGAUGGGCUUGCGGAUGGAAAUGGCUAUUUUCCCAACAGCAACGACACGCAAGAGAUAGACCUUCAUCAGAGCAGCCGUGCUAUAGCUUGCAGCAGCGGGACCAGAGAGAUCGAAGAAGUUGUGGAGUAG
Molecule: ribosomal RNA, 3138 nt
Filed under: Triticum aestivum (bread wheat)
Lineage: Eukaryota; Viridiplantae; Streptophyta; Magnoliopsida; Poales; Poaceae
Description: partial small subunit ribosomal RNA
Source: RNAcentral